RNAcentral lists this ribosomal RNA (427 nucleotides) under uncultured Rickettsiella sp. RNAcentral's name for it is "bacterial SSU rRNA". It matches the Rfam family "Bacterial small subunit ribosomal RNA", at positions 355 to 774 of the family's 1533-position model. The record is from RNAcentral. Lineage: Bacteria; Pseudomonadati; Pseudomonadota; Gammaproteobacteria; Legionellales; Coxiellaceae.
UGGGGAAUCUUGGACAAUGGGGGCAACCCUGAUCCAGCGAUGCCGCGUGUGUGAAGAAGGCCUUCGGGUUGUAAAGCACUUUAGGUGGGGAAGAAAGGCAGUUGUUGAAUACGCAACUGCUAUGACGGUACCCGCAGAAUAAGCACCGGCUAACUCUGUGCCAGCAGCCGCGGUAAUACAGAGGGUGCAAGCGUUAAUCAGAAUGACUGGGCGUAAAGGGCGUGUAGGUGGUUAAUUAGGUUUGAUGUGAAAUCCCCGGGCUUAACCUGGGAAUUGCGUCGAAAACGGAUUGACUCGAGUGAGAUAGAGGGUUGUGGAAUUUCCGGUGUAGCGGUGAAAUGCGUAGAUAUCGGAAAGAACAUCAGUGGCGAAGGCGACAACCUGGAUCUUAACUGACACUGAGGCGCGAAGGCGUGGGGAGCAAACA